GACGAUCAGUAGCCGACCUGAGAGGGUGAUCGGCCACAUUGGAACUGAGACACGGUCCAAACUUCUACGGAAGGCAGCAGUAGGGAAUCUUGCACAAUGGGCGAAAGCCUGAUGCAGCAACGCCGCGUGAAGGAUGAAGGCCUUCGGGUUGUAAACUUCUGUUCUUAGGGAAGAAGAAAGUGACGGUACCUAAGGAGAAAGCCCCGGCUAACUACGUGCCAGCAGCCGCGGUAAUACGUAGGGGGCAAGCGUUAUCCGGAAUUAUUGGGCGUAAAGAGUGCGUAGGUGGUUAUCUAAGCGUAAGGUUUAAGCGUGCAGCUCAACUGCAUCUCGCCUUGCGAACUGGACUACUUGAGUGCAGGAGGGGAAAGCGGAAUUCCUAGUGUAGCGGUGAAAUGCGUAGAUAUUAGGAGGAACACCAGCGGCGAAGGCGGCUUUCUGGACUGUAACUGACACUGAGGCACGAAAGCGUGGGGAGCAAACAGGAUUAGAUACCCUGGUAGUCCACGCCGUAAACGAUGA
RNAcentral lists this ribosomal RNA (522 nucleotides) under uncultured bacterium. RNAcentral describes it as "bacterial SSU rRNA". It matches the Rfam family "Bacterial small subunit ribosomal RNA", at positions 275 to 812 of the family's 1533-position model. The record is from RNAcentral.